AAUAGAGAAAUAACGCUGAUGAUUGUGGAUAACUCUGUGCGUAAAAAGGUAUAAAGCGGGGUUUUGCUGGGGAAUGCAGCAGUCAGUCAUUUUUCUGCAAUUUUUCUAUUGCGGCCUGCGGAGAACUCCCUAUAAUGCGCCUCCAUCGACACGGCGGAUGUGAAUCACUUCACACAAACAGCCGGUUCGGUUGAAGAGAAAAAUUCUGAAAUUCAGGGUUGACUCUGAAAGAGGAAAGCGUAAUAUACGCCACCUCGCGACAGUGAGCUGAAAGCCGCGUCGCAACUGCUCUUUAACAAUUUAUCAGACAAUCUGUGUGGGCACUCGAAGAUACGGAUUCUUAACGUCGCAAGACGAAAAAUGAAUACCAAGUCUCAAGAGUGAACACGUAAUUCAUUACGAAGUUUAAUUCUUUGAGCAUCAAACUUUUAAAUUGAAGAGUUUGAUCAUGGCUCAGAUUGAACGCUGGCGGCAGGCCUAACACAUGCAAGUCGAACGGUAACAGGAAGAAGCUUGCUUCUUUGCUGACGAGUGGCGGACGGGUGAGUAAUGUCUGGGAAACUGCCUGAUGGAGGGGGAUAACUACUGGAAACGGUAGCUAAUACCGCAUAACGUCGCAAGACCAAAGAGGGGGACCUUCGGGCCUCUUGCCAUCGGAUGUGCCCAGAUGGGAUUAGCUAGUAGGUGGGGUAACGGCUCACCUAGGCGACGAUCCCUAGCUGGUCUGAGAGGAUGACCAGCCACACUGGAACUGAGACACGGUCCAGACUCCUACGGGAGGCAGCAGUGGGGAAUAUUGCACAAUGGGCGCAAGCCUGAUGCAGCCAUGCCGCGUGUAUGAAGAAGGCCUUCGGGUUGUAAAGUACUUUCAGCGGGGAGGAAGGGAGUAAAGUUAAUACCUUUGCUCAUUGACGUUACCCGCAGAAGAAGCACCGGCUAACUCCGUGCCAGCAGCCGCGGUAAUACGGAGGGUGCAAGCGUUAAUCGGAAUUACUGGGCGUAAAGCGCACGCAGGCGGUUUGUUAAGUCAGAUGUGAAAUCCCCGGGCUCAACCUGGGAACUGCAUCUGAUACUGGCAAGCUUGAGUCUCGUAGAGGGGGGUAGAAUUCCAGGUGUAGCGGUGAAAUGCGUAGAGAUCUGGAGGAAUACCGGUGGCGAAGGCGGCCCCCUGGACGAAGACUGACGCUCAGGUGCGAAAGCGUGGGGAGCAAACAGGAUUAGAUACCCUGGUAGUCCACGCCGUAAACGAUGUCGACUUGGAGGUUGUGCCCUUGAGGCGUGGCUUCCGGAGCUAACGCGUUAAGUCGACCGCCUGGGGAGUACGGCCGCAAGGUUAAAACUCAAAUGAAUUGACGGGGGCCCGCACAAGCGGUGGAGCAUGUGGUUUAAUUCGAUGCAACGCGAAGAACCUUACCUGGUCUUG
Molecule: ribosomal RNA, 1423 nt
Filed under: Escherichia coli B114
Lineage: Bacteria; Pseudomonadati; Pseudomonadota; Gammaproteobacteria; Enterobacterales; Enterobacteriaceae
Description: partial 23S ribosomal RNA
Rfam family: Bacterial small subunit ribosomal RNA (bases 431-1423)
Source: RNAcentral